GGCGGCGGACGGGUGAGUAACGCGUGGGAACGUGCCCUUCUCUGCGGAAUAGCCUCGGGAAACUGAGAGUAAUACCGCAUACGCCCUUCGGGGGAAAGAUUUAUCGGAGAAGGAUCGGCCCGCGUUGGAUUAGGUAGUUGGUGGGGUAAUGGCCUACCAAGCCGACGAUCCAUAGCUGGUUUGAGAGGAUGAUCAGCCACACUGGGACUGAGACACGGCCCAGACUCCUACGGGAGGCAGCAGUGGGGAAUCUUAGACAAUGGGGGAAACCCUGAUCUAGCCAUGCCGCGUGAGUGACGAAGGCCCUAGGGUCGUAAAGCUCUUUCAGCUGUGAAGAUAAUGACGGUAGCAGCAGAAGAAACCCCGGCUAACUCCGUGCCAGCAGCCGCGGUAAUACGGAGGGGGUUAGCGUUGUUCGGAAUUACUGGGCGUAAAGCGCGCGUAGGCGGACUAUUAAGUCAGGGGUGAAAUCCCGGGGCUCAACCCCGGAACUGCCCUUGAUACUGGUAGUCUCGAGUUCGAGAGAGGUGAGUGGAAUUCCGAGUGUAGAGGUGAAAUUCGUAGAUAUUCNGANGAACACCAGUGGCGAANGCGGNUCACUGNCUCGAUACUGACGCUGAGGUGCGAAAGCGUGGGNAG
This 639-nucleotide ribosomal RNA is filed under the name uncultured bacterium. Its description in RNAcentral is "bacterial SSU rRNA". It matches the Rfam family "Bacterial small subunit ribosomal RNA", at positions 94 to 768 of the family's 1533-position model. The record is from RNAcentral.